Molecule: transfer RNA, 74 nt
Filed under: Caudoviricetes sp.
Lineage: Duplodnaviria; Heunggongvirae; Uroviricota; Caudoviricetes
Description: tRNA-Thr
Rfam family: tRNA
About the family: Transfer RNA (tRNA) molecules are approximately 80 nucleotides in length.
Source: RNAcentral
GCCAUUUUAGCACAGCGGAUAGUGCAUCGCUUUUGUAAAGCGGAGGUCAUCGGUUCAAAUCCGAUAAAUGGCUC